This 257-nucleotide ribosomal RNA is filed under the name uncultured bacterium. RNAcentral describes it as "partial 16S ribosomal RNA". It matches the Rfam family "Bacterial small subunit ribosomal RNA", at positions 793 to 1055 of the family's 1533-position model. The record is from RNAcentral.
GUCCACGCCCUAACGAUGUCAACUGGUUGUUGGGUCUUACUGACUCAGUAACGAAGCUAACGCGUGAAGUUGACCGCCUGGGAGUACGGCCGCAAGGUUGAACUCAAAGGAAUUGACGGGACCCGCACAAGCGGUGGAUGAUGUGGUUUAAUUCGAUGCAACGCGAAACCUUACCCACCUUUGACAUGGUCGGAACCCUUUAGAGAUAGAGGGGUGCUCGAAAGAGAGCCGAUACACAGGUGCUGCAUGGCUGUCGU